Molecule: non-coding RNA, 1047 nt
Organism: Kogia breviceps (pygmy sperm whale)
Lineage: Eukaryota; Metazoa; Chordata; Mammalia; Artiodactyla; Physeteridae
Source: RefSeq, a predicted model, not a curated record
UAGUCUCUCUGGGCCUGUUGUCUUCAUGUCAGAUGCUAAAACUUGAAGUCUGCAUAGCAAACAAUUGGGAAGGGAAGAUGGAUGUAAAGUGGGGGAGAGCAAGGACAAGCUAGAAUCCACGAAGAGGAGCCAGGAUCAUGAGAAUGAACUGGGACCUGUGUCAGUUUUCACUGCCUUCAUCUUUAUAAAAUGGUGUCCUUUUUUGCAGAGCUAAACAAAAUGUCUCAGGAAGAUGUUGAAGGAGGAUCCCAGGAGAAGGUUGAGCAGCAGCAGGCCUGGGUGCUGCCCUGUGGCCAACAAGGUGGACCCAGUGUAACUGCCAAAGUUCUUAUAAGAGAAAGAGGGACAGGAAUGAGACAAUCAGAGAGUAGGAUGUGGAUGUGACAAUGGAAGUGGAGGCUGGAGUGAUACAAGGAAGGAGCCAUGAACCAAAGAAUGCAGGUGGCCUUAAGAAGUGGAAAAGUGGUUUCUUGCAGACUCUAAGUCACAGAAGGAGUUACUCUAACAAUGAAAAAUUUCAGUUUUGUGGCAAGCUAAUCCUUGGAAAUUUGGAGUCUUUCAAAUUACUUCAGGUAAAUGCCAGUCUACAUGCAGGGCAUUUUCUGACUGCUUAUUGCUUAUGCCCAAGUGUCCAUUAAUGUUUCCUGUUGUUGUGUCUGGAAAAUCUUAAAAUUUUCAAAGGUUUUUGCUAUUCAUGUACAAACUUGCAUUUGGGAUGUUAUUUAGGACCCACAGCUCACUGAAGUAACUAAGUUCUCUUAUCUUGUCUAGUUUGUUUUGCCCUUACGUUCUGUUAGAUGUGACAGUAAGACAUUUUCUGCUGCUCCAUCCUCUGGGUCACUCAAAUCAUUGUUGCUGGUCUCCUUGGUACUGGUAGCCUGGAUGAGUAAAGUUUGUGUUAGUGGCUCUGGAAAGACUGUGAGUCCAUGCAAGAAUGGGAGAGGUGCUUAAGGAAGAUGCACUCUUCCAUCUUUGUAGCCAAGGAAUGUCAACUGAAAUAGCACACCAAAGAGAUACUGUUUUUUAUACUUUGAUUUUCUUUUUUUA